Ictalurus punctatus (channel catfish) is the source of this 1156-nucleotide long non-coding RNA. The record is from Ensembl. NCBI's taxonomy places the organism in Eukaryota, Metazoa, Chordata, Actinopteri, Siluriformes, Ictaluridae.
CUUCCACAGAUUUUCAGAAAGUGACAGAAAAUGACUCCUGUUGUAAAGAAUACCAUCGAAUGCAUAGUGUUUCCUGAAGCAGAACCUGACAUUUCAGGUUCAUACAGUUCGGGUAGGGCACACGCACACGUGCACACACACGCACAGAGUGCAUUUUAGAAGUAAAAUAAUAUUGAGUGAACAUACAUCCUGUGGAGAGAUUGUCGAGUCUUUCUUAAAUCACGGAGCUAACUGAGGUUUUGAUUAAUGCUGAAGAGAGGCCUGCUUUUCCUGGCCCUCUUAUGAGCAAUGAGAUGCUGAUGCAGGACCUGAUAUGGUUUAUCCAUUUCCAAGCACACGAGCGUUACAAAAAAAACGAUGAACGUGACCAAGUGGAGGCCUAUAUCUUCCGGCAGAUAACGGAAUUGUUCUGCCGUGGAAAUGGAGUAAGUGUUAAUUGAUCGUUUAAGAAAAGUUAAAAUAGUUAAACCCAUUUAGAUCACAUUCGUUGUUUGUUUGUUCUGAAUAAUGUGCUCGUAUUCAGUUACAUCUCCAAUACUAACAACAGAUGUGUUACCUAACGGUAUUUCUUUUACAGGAAGUGAUGAUGUGUGAAGUCGCCACAGUCUUCUUCCACGUCUACAGCUGGCUUAGGAAGAAACGAACAAAUGUUAGUAUAUCUCACAUCAGUAUCAGCGUCUGUCUGUAUAUGACUGUGUAAUUUUGCAUUGUUUUUGCCAGCACCGUGGUAACUAAUAUGACCAUUUCAGUGCGAAGGUGGUAACAGAUGGAAGGCAUGGUGUCGUCCUCUGGCAGAACCUUUGUGCUCCUCUCCACCAGAUGAUGAGCACAGAGAGGCUCUGAUUAAGAUGGGAGAUGAUCUUGCCUCCAGAAGAUGGACCUACGCAGCACAUCUCUGCUACGUUUUGGCCAAAGUGGAGCUGGGGUCACGUAGUCAGUUCGAACUGAUCGGAUGUGACGGGUAAUGUGUGUGUGUGUGUGAGAUAUUCUUCCAGAAUUUCUACUGACAUAUUAUUCUAUUUGCAGCAGAGUGCCAUUUGGCAUACAAGUCCUGUCUAAAGCCCUCGUGAGAACCGAGACGUAUGAAUACGUGCUGUCGCUGACCUCAGGGCUGUACCAGCCAAACUUCCAGAGCUGGAAGUUCUGUCAGGCCAAG